This 468-nucleotide ribosomal RNA is filed under the name Streptomyces sp. Its description in RNAcentral is "bacterial SSU rRNA". It matches the Rfam family "Bacterial small subunit ribosomal RNA", at positions 16 to 499 of the family's 1533-position model. The record is from RNAcentral. Lineage: Bacteria; Bacillati; Actinomycetota; Actinomycetes; Kitasatosporales; Streptomycetaceae.
AUCCUGGCUCAGGACGAACGCUGGCGGCGUGCUUAACACAUGCAAGUCGAACGAUGAAGCCCUUCGGGGUGGAUUAGUGGCGAACGGGUGAGUAACACGUGGGCAAUCUGCCCUUCACUCUGGGACAAGCCCUGGAAACGGGGUCUAAUACCGGAUAAUACUUUUCCUCUCCUGAGGAAAGGUUGAAAGCUCCGGCGGUGAAGGAUGAGCCCGCGGCCUAUCAGCUAGUUGGUGGGGUAAUGGCCUACCAAGGCGACGACGGGUAGCCGGCCUGAGAGGGCGACCGGCCACACUGGGACUGAGACACGGCCCAGACUCCUACGGGAGGCAGCAGUGGGGAAUAUUGCACAAUGGGCGAAAGCCUGAUGCAGCGACGCCGCGUGAGGGAUGACGGCCAUCGGGUUGUAAACCUUCUUUCAGCAGGGAAGAAGCGAAAAGUGACGGUACCUGCAGAAGAAGCGCCGGCUA